GUGAGCCGCGGGGCGAUGACGCAAUCUGGCCGGGAAGAGGAAAUCAGCGAACAAGUGCUACAAAUCGUUAGCAUUAGAGUCAAGAAAGCUGAUAAUGAUUUGACAAAAUGAAGUUCUGUUCAAACAGUCAACAAAAUCAAUAAUUGCAGAGAACAUAAUAACUGGACAGCAAUGAAGAAGAGAAAACAAAUAUUCAAAUAGCCUCGAAAUAAGAUAAGUUUUGAGUAGCUUCAAGUGGAUGACGUGUGAACCAAAACCUGCAUUAUGAAUCACUCUUGGCUCUCAUCGGAAUCCAAAAACCACAGAGACUUUUAAACGAAUUCUUAUGUUUAUUUAUUUAUUUUUCUUAUUGGUGGUGCAUAGACAUUGUUAAGCUCUCAGUAGAAUCAAUAAAGUAUCUUUUAAAACCUUUGCUAAUUUUUUAAAAUGCAUUUAAAGAAGUCUAGAUGAGAUGUUGAGACAAGCGAGUGUGCUAUUUUAGGUGUUCGAAGCAUUGGUGUCGAGACAGCGGCGGGGAAGGCCAGGCGAGGGACUGUUCUUUUCUGCUCUGCGCCUCGGCCUGGCAACACGUAUGAUCCUAUUGUGUCUGCUGCGGCUUUGUAACGUCAGGGAUCCUUCUCUGGAACUCCGUCGUUUUCUAUGAAGGGAAACUACCGGAUACUGCUGCAGAGUGUAAAUUCCUGCUGGACUCAUGUCUACUUGUGACAACCACCCUUGAGUUACCAGUUCAAAGGUUCUGAAGUGAUCCCAAGCCACCUGUAACAUCAAUAUCAAGAUCAUGGAAGAAAACUACUAACCAGGC
Molecule: long non-coding RNA, 802 nt
Organism: Portunus trituberculatus (swimming crab)
Lineage: Eukaryota; Metazoa; Arthropoda; Malacostraca; Decapoda; Portunidae
Exons: 4
Source: RefSeq, a predicted model, not a curated record